Molecule: long non-coding RNA, 296 nt
Organism: Pyrgilauda ruficollis (rufous-necked snowfinch)
Lineage: Eukaryota; Metazoa; Chordata; Aves; Passeriformes; Passeridae
Exons: 3
Source: RefSeq, a predicted model, not a curated record
CUGAGCCUGACCAGAUGCCCAGAUCUGAUGCUGCAGAAGAAAGAACUGGGCCAAAGAAACUUGGGAAGCAUGAAAGGACCCUACUUUUAAGGAAGCUCCUUUCUUUAGGAGCAGAAGGAUUUUCCUUAUCCAGGGGAAGAAAGAAGUCUUUUCAGAGAACAAAACUUUGCACCAGGUUCUCUGCCAGGAGUCAUGGGCUUUUUGGGUGACCUGGAGAGGUCACAUCACACCGGUUCCUACCAGCACAGAAACGUUGUGGCUUGGCAGAAGUUCAGCGUGGUCUCCCAGAAGAUGAG